GUUCGUUGUGUGAAGGGCGCAUGGUGGAUGCCUUGGUAUUGUGUGCCGAUGAAGGACGUGUCAGGCUGCGUUAAGCCUCGGGGAGUUGUCAAGUAAGCGUUGAUCCGAGGAUGUCCGAAUGGGGAAACCUGCCACUCGUUGUGGGGUGGUACCUGCCCAUGAAUUCAUAGUGGGUGUGGGGGUUACGCGGGGAAGUGAAACAUCUCAGUACCCGUAGGAGAGGAAAAUAAUAAUGAUUCUGCUAGUAGCGGCGAGCGAACGUGGAUGAGGCUAAACCGUGUGUGUGUGAUACUUGGUAGGGGUUGCGCAUGCGGUGUUGUGGGGUUGCAACGUGGAAGUGUCUACCAGUGCUUCGUUGUGGUGUGUGUGUUAGCUGAAUUGGCUUGGAAUGGUCAACCGGAGUGGGUGAGAGUCCUGUAGGUGAAGGUGCACAUGUCAUGAUUGUUGUUGUCCCCGAGUAGCAACGGGCUCGUGGAAUCUGUUGUGAAUCUGCCGGGACCACCCGGUAAGCCUAAAUACGUGCAAUAACCGAUAGUGUAUUUGAGUACCGUGAGGGAAUGGUGAAAAGUACCCCGGGAGGGGAGUGAAAUAGUUCCUGAAACCAUGUGCUUACAAUCCGUCAGAGCACCUGGAUGUGUGUGAUGGCGUGCCUUUUGAAGAAUGAGCCUGCGAGUCAGCGGCAUGUCGCGAGGUUAACCCGUGUGGGGUAGCCGUAGGGAAACCGAAUCCUAAUGGGGUGUUUUUAGUGGCAUGUCCUGGACCCGAAGCGGGGUGAUCUACCCAUGGCCAGUGUGAAGCAGCUGUAAGAGGUUGUGGAGGCGCGAACCCACGUAGGUUGAAAACUGCGGGGAUGAGUUGUGGGUAGGGGUGAAAGGCCAAUCAAACUCCGUGAUAGCUGGUUCUCCCCGAAAUGCAUUUAGGUGCAGCGUUACGUUAAAAAGCCUAGUGGAGGUAGAGCUACUGGUUGGUUGAGCGGGACUACAAUCUUAGCAACAUCAGCCAAACUCCGAAUGCCGCUAGUGUGUGCGUGGCAGUGAGACUGUGGGGGAUAAGCUUCAUAGUCGAGAGGGAAACAGCCCAGAUCGCCGGUUAAGGCCCCUAAGGGUAUGCUAAGUGGAAAAGGAUGUGGGAUCGCGAAGACAGCCAGGAGGUUGGCUUAGAAGCAGCCAUCCUUGAAAGAGUGCGUAAUAGCUCACUGGUCGAGUGGUUCUGCGCCGACAAUGUAGUGGGGCUCAAGCAUACCGCCGAAGCCGCGGCAACAUUUUUUGUUGGGUAGGGGAGCGUCGUGCACGUGGUGAAGCAGUAUCGUAAGGCGCUGUGGAGUGUGUGCGAGUGAGAAUGCAGGCAUGAGUAACGAAUUGGUAGGUGAGAAUCCUACCCGCCGGAUGACUAAGGGUUCCUGGGUCAAGUUCGUCUUCCCAGGGUGAGUCGGGACCUAAGGCGAGGCCGACAGGCGUAGUCGAUGGAUAACCAGUUGAUAUUCUGGUACCCGUAUAUCCGCGCCCAAUGGUAAAGCAGUGAUACUAACCACCCGCAUCGCCAUGUACGUGCCCUUUCGGGGGUGUGUCGUGGUUGGUGCGCGUGGGGCCUGAACUGUGGUCCAAGCGAUGGGGUGACACAGGUUGGUAGCCAUGCCACUUAUUGGAUUGUUGGUGUAAGCGUGCAGACUGUGGUGUAGGUUAAAUCCGCACUGCGUGAUGGUCGAGGCGUGAUGCGUAGCCCGUUGUGGGUGAAGUUGGUGAUCCUGUACUGUCGAGAAAAGCCUCUAGUGAGUGGGUGUACGGCCCGUACCCUAAACCGACACAGGUGGUCAGGUUGAGUAUACUAAGGCGUUCGGGUGAACUGUGGUUAAGGAAUUCGGCAAAAUGCCCCCGUAACUUCGGGAGAAGGGGGGCCACUGCUGGUGCUGCAUCCUUAUGCGGUGUGUGUGCUGGUGGUGGUCGCAGAGAAUAGAGGGGUCCGACUGUUUAUCAAAAACACAGGUCCAUGCGAAGACGUGAAGUUGAUGUAUAUGGACUGACGCCUGCCCGGUGCUGGAAGGUUAAGAGGACCUGUUAGGAGCCUUUGUGGUUCCGAAGCGGAGAAUUUAAGCCCCAGUAAACGGCGGUGGUAACUAUAACCAUCCUAAGGUAGCGAAAUUCCUUGUCGGGUAAGUUCCGACCUGCACGAAUGGCGUAACGAGACCUCUGCUGUCUCAACCACAGGCCCGGUGAAAUUGCAUUACGAGUAAAGAUGCUCGUUACGCGCGGCAGGACGAAAAGACCCCGGGACCUUCACUAUAGCUUGGUAUUGGUAUUUACUAUCGUUUGUGUAGGAUAGGUGGGAGACUGUGAGACCGUCACGCUAGUGGUGGUGGAGUCGUUGGUGAAAUACCACUCUGAUGGUAGUGGAUGCCUGAACCUUGGCCCAUGAUCUGGGUUGGGGACAGUGCCUGGUGGGUAGUUUAACUGGGGCGGUUGCCUCCCAAAAUGUAACGGAGGCGCCCAAAGGUUCCCUCAGCCUGGUUGGCAAUCAGGUGGUGAGUGUAAGUGCACAAGGGAGCUUGACUGUGAGAGUGACGGCUCGAGCAGGGACGAAAGUCGGGACUAGUGAUCCGGCACCUACUUGUGGAUGUGGUGUCGCUCAACGGAUAAAAGGUACCCCGGGGAUAACAGGCUGAUCUUCCCCAAGAGUCCAUAUCGACGGGAUGGUUUGGCACCUCGAUGUCGGCUCGUCGCAUCCUGGGGCUGGAGUAGGUCCCAAGGG
This 2745-nucleotide ribosomal RNA is filed under the name Corynebacterium sp. HMSC04H06. RNAcentral describes it as "Bacterial large subunit ribosomal RNA". It matches the Rfam family "Bacterial large subunit ribosomal RNA", at positions 1 to 2571 of the family's 2925-position model. The record is from Rfam by way of RNAcentral. Lineage: Bacteria; Bacillati; Actinomycetota; Actinomycetes; Mycobacteriales; Corynebacteriaceae.